This 535-nucleotide long non-coding RNA is filed under the name Gopherus evgoodei (Goodes thornscrub tortoise). Its description in RNAcentral is "lncRNA (ENSGEVG00005009160.1)". Lineage: Eukaryota; Metazoa; Chordata; Testudines; Testudinidae. The record is from RNAcentral.
GCCGCCGCGGCAGCCCAGCGGGCCCAGUCCCGAGGAGGCGGUGCUGCCGCCUCUCUGCCUGUGACUGGCCGGCGGCGCUGCCGCUCAGUCCCGGCAGGGCGGGGAGGAGGCGAGCGGUGUAAACAAGGAGAGAGGGAGGGUGGCUCGAUGUCAGCGGGUCACAUGGAGUCUCCUAUGGGCCCGGGGAAGGAGGCGGUGGCGGGCUGUCAGCUGGCAGGCGGCAGAUGCUGCUGAGGCGGUGGUACAAGGACAGGGGCCCGGCCAGCGCGCACCCAGCCCAUCCUCGGGGCUCUGCUCCCCGCCGCGUCGCCCUGACAAAUGAUGUGUUUUGUGAUCGCCGCGAUGAAAGGAUCUUAGUGUUCCCUGAUCUUCCUUUGCUUCUGCUGACUACAAUACCCUUUGUUUCACAAGAUUGGACCCAACAGGCUAGCUGAACUGAUCAUUGUGGUUGAGCUUUGCUGAAGCUAUCGAGUCUGACCUCUUGAGAAGCUCUCGAUCACAUUUGUUGAUAUUAACCUACUGACUAUGAGACCUU